CAAUAUUUCAGUGUAGGAAGACAGGUAGUAGACAUAUUAGCCGAUAAUAUAUCACAUGAUGAUAAAUGCUAUUAAAAAAAAAGGCAGUGAGUACAGAUGAUGAAAAGAAGGAGUCCAAGGACUGACCUUUGGGCACCCCAUCAUUUAGAAGUCUGGUAGCUGAAGAAGAAACCAGCAAGGAAAAGUGCCAAUCAUGAAUGAGUGGUGUCCUAAAAGCUGAGUGAAGAGAGUGUGUCAAGGAGAAGAGAGUGAUUAAUGGAUUUCCUGCUGCUGAUAGGUCAGAGAGCUCUUGGAAGAGAGAUACUCAAUUUGGAUCCAGUUAGAAUUACUAACACGGGAUGGGCUGCAACACGGCAGGUUUCCAAUUGUGUUUCUUAGGCUUGAAACUGUUCCCAGAAGCAAAGACGAUGAAGGCUUCAUUUGUUUGGCAUGAAAAUAAAAUAAAAAAAACCAAAACACCACUUUACAAAGGGGUUUAAGGCAAAUCUUUUCUUCCCUAUUAUUCUUAUCCCCCAUCCCCUACUGUUGGCUAAUCCUUGAAUUUUAAGCUCUUUUGGGAAAGAGCAAUAUUUUUUAUAACUAUUUUUCCUAAACCAGACUAAGUGGAAGCAUUGAAUCUAUUUUAUUUGAUGCAUUUAAUAAGGUUUUAAUUGUAAUAAUUACAGUUAAAUAGUUCAACAUCCCAAACAUCCUAGUACUUUAGGUGGCCUGGGGAAAUGGAUCUCAUAAGAAUAUAUAAUAACAUAAUGAUCACUUGAAAAGCCAGGGUUUUAUACUCUUUGUAUCUGAUGACUAACACACUGGGUUCAAGAAGCACAGAAUCUGAUCUCCACCUCCUUGUCCUUUCAUUGCUACUAAAACAGCACAGCCAACCAGCUAGGGCAGUUGGUCAAAUAUUUAAUACUUUGAUGUGUGUGUGUGUGUGUGUGUGUGUGUGUGUGCGCGCGCGCGCGUGCGCAU
Non-coding RNA from Microcebus murinus (gray mouse lemur), 960 nucleotides. The record is from RefSeq and is a predicted model, not a curated record. NCBI's taxonomy places the organism in Eukaryota, Metazoa, Chordata, Mammalia, Primates, Cheirogaleidae.